This 587-nucleotide ribosomal RNA is filed under the name uncultured bacterium. RNAcentral's name for it is "partial 16S ribosomal RNA". It matches the Rfam family "Bacterial small subunit ribosomal RNA", at positions 355 to 938 of the family's 1533-position model. The record is from RNAcentral.
UGGGGAAUUUUGGACAAUGGGGGAAACCCUGAUCCAGCCAUCCCGCGUGUGCGAUGAAGGCCUUCGGGUUGUAAAGCACUUUUGGCAGGAAAGAAACGUCGCGGGUUAAUACCCCGCGAAACUGACGGUACCUGCAGAAUAAGCACCGGCUAACUACGUGCCAGCAGCCGCGGUAAUACGUAGGGUGCAAGCGUUAAUCGGAAUUACUGGGCGUAAAGCGUGCGCAGGCGGUUCGGAAAGAAAGAUGUGAAAUCCCAGAGCUUAACUUUGGAACUGCAUUUUUUAACUACCGGGCUAGAGUGUGUCAGAGGGAGGUGGAAUUCCGCGUGUAGCAGUGAAAUGCGUAGAUAUGCGGAGGAACACCGAUGGCGAAGGCAGCCUCCUGGGAUAACACUGACGCUCAUGCACGAAAGCGUGGGGAGCAAACAGGAUUAGAUACCCUGGUAGUCCACGCCCUAAACGAUGUCAACUAGCUGUUGGGGCCUUCGGGCCUUGGUAGCGCAGCUAACGCGUGAAGUUGACCGCCUGGGGAGUACGGUCGCAAGAUUAAAACUCAAAUGAAUUGACGGGGGUCAUAGCUGUUUCCU